This 1020-nucleotide long non-coding RNA is filed under the name Toxoplasma gondii VEG. The record is from RNAcentral. Lineage: Eukaryota; Apicomplexa; Conoidasida; Eucoccidiorida; Sarcocystidae.
GAUACGCGGAACUGUAUAUCGAUAAUCCCCAGCUGUGAGGUGGAGUAGAAAAAGUCGAUCUGGCCAAGAAGGAGAUUGUGGCAUCCAAAUGGUCACCUAUGCUACGGACAAUUCCCCCAAACAUGUGUGUCCUCGAAGGGGCUCUGGAUCACGACGCAAGGGUAAGGCUCUUCGAACACGCAACACUACCGCAGCUUGAAAAACAAAGACACACUUAAUGUAUACGAUAUAGGGCCUCGGCUUUUAGGCGUGGGAUCUUAAGGAUAAGCUUUGUCUUUCUGGUUUCGGUUUAGAAUUUCUAGCAUCGAAUUUGUUUGCGGUGCCGAAGUUUCACACAUAAAUGCCGAAAACCCCCCGUUCUUACGCCAAAUGGCAGGCAGAUGCCGAAAGCACUCGUUGGCUGCUACAAUAUUUUUUUCGCGCGUCAUUGUGGCAAACCGGUUUUAUGGGCCCAUGGGUGCCUCGGGACGGUCGAUCUUGUGCGCAGUCUCUGGCACACUAGUCCGUUAGGAAUGACCAGAUGAGCGUUUGUGUUCCAAUGAAGCACGUGCCAGGUGUUUGUGGUGUAAGAUUUUCGUUGCACAUCUGUUUAUUCUUGCGAGACAUACUGGACCGAAUUGCGAACUCGAUUGUGCUGACUCACGACUCGAGAUUUAAGCAAAGAAGUGAUGCACUUCCCAAGAGAUAAUCUUGUGAGCAAUAUAAGUAGUACAAGGGACCAACUUGGAGACGAGACGGGUCGUGAUUGUACGAUACCGUCAGAAAAAGUCCGAGACACUGGAAUCAUUCUCGAGUGUCCUGCGUUGCCCGGAUGUGUAGCAGCCGUGCCCACGUGCGUUGAAACAACCCGACGGUUUUUGAGCUUUCCGGAUGACAUGAGAAAGUCUACGUCACGCAACACUCAUCAGUAAAUUGGUGCUUCUCUAUCGACCGCGUCUGCAUCUUCAGCACCCGCUUGGAACAGAAGACACACGGCCUGCCAUCACUAGGAGGACUAGUAACAGAUAUUCACCGGACAAG